Physcomitrium patens is the source of this 1410-nucleotide non-coding RNA. The record is from RefSeq and is a predicted model, not a curated record. Lineage: Eukaryota; Viridiplantae; Streptophyta; Bryopsida; Funariales; Funariaceae.
GGCAAGUCCUUAAUCACGAGGGAGAGUGAAGAGGGUCCCUUGCAGCCACGAGCUCUCACUCUUCUUCCGUUGUCUCAUGCUUUGUAACUCAAGCGUGCGUUGCUCAAGUUGUAGCUGAAUCUGUUUCCACAGUUUGUUGCUUCUGAAUGAAUGCCAAGUCUUGCUCAAAACUUCUUUUUUUGUGUUUUUAGUGUUUUUUUAUGGAUCUAUCGUCUGUCAAAAUAUCAUUUUGUUUUAGGGGGUCGGAAACCAAGAAGGCAAUGUUAGUGAGGAUUGUUGUCAGUAGCUCUCGUCUUGUGGCUUGUUUUUCAUGAGGACAAUGUAGACUAUGGCUGCCUCUCGUGGCAUUGGCAUUGGGACAAUGAAUGAAUCACACAGCACUGCGGUCUGGUUGUGUGGUUUGGCUCUCACAACACUCCUUUUGCAUUCAACUCAAUUAGAAUGGAAGAGUGUCUUUAAAUAGUUUCUUCGUGGGCGAGACCGUGAUGUUGGAUUUAGGGAAGGUCGCUGGGAGGGUGGCGUUCUCGAAAUUGUCAUCUCACUGACCAUCGUGCCCGAAUUUGACGAUGAUUUGAUUGCUCCCUGCCUCGGAAUGUGGGUUUUGUGACGACUCGAAUGCCAUUCUGUGUCGUGUCUGGGUGCAGAUCGUCAAGAAACUCGUCUCGCAGAUCCUACGACCUCUCGAUACAAUGACUGGAAUCCGGAGAGCUCAGUUCUGAGUGUGUUUGAAUCUUGCAUGGACAAAUGCAUCUUCCGUCACGAGACUAAUGCGGAAAGAAGCACAGUCCGACUCGCGAAGAACUGUAAUAUCUGAACUGAUUUUGCUACCAACAUUUUACUCCGCCAAACUCUCUCACGAAAACGCCAAGCAGCGAGCGAAAUAGCCGGGGACCCACUUGGGGGACCACAUCGCUUGUACAGCUUACACAAACCCAAUGGUGAGUGGUGAAUCCCCCAAUGGUUGGCAUUUUCAUUCCAUAACUAGCGGUUGGUGCCUGCACGCUUGUUGCCAAUUUAGCCAACAAGCACAACAGUCAGGGGGAGUGGCCAGAGGAUCCCAAAUCACCGGAAAAUCUGUUAAGAAUCUGUUUAAAAAGAUCUCUCAGAGGCUCCAAACAUAUCUGCACGGGCUUUGGAAAGCCUCACUUGUUUGUGCUGAUCCCUAUACUACAGAACACGAGAGUAAAUUUCCUCCAAGAAUAAAGCUUAGACUGUUGGAGGUCCAGUAGGUUCGGACAAAUCUAGGGAGUUCCGCUGUGCUUGGACUCUUCUCCCUGUUUGUCUGUGCAGCCGUUUUGACAGCAGCUGUCACUGACAAGCUCCUAUUCCACGCCUGGUGACACCUCUCAUGCGAUCACGUUGUUCGAUGAGCAAACAUCGUUAACGGAAAGUAUACUUUGAUUUUAUCUU